RNAcentral lists this ribosomal RNA (408 nucleotides) under Episiphon sp. RNAcentral's name for it is "partial 16S ribosomal RNA". The record is from RNAcentral. Lineage: Eukaryota; Metazoa; Mollusca; Scaphopoda; Dentaliida; Gadilinidae.
AAAGGUAGCAUAAUAAUUUGCCUYUUAAUUAGGGGAUAGGAUGAAUGGAUAGACGUAUACUAACUGUCUCAAUUUCACUAUAGUGAAAUUAAUCUUUAAGUGAAAAAGCUUAAAUAAAUAAAAAAGACAAGAAGACCCUGGUGAAUUUAAAAUUAAUUUUCUUGAAUUUCAAAAGUAUUUUUUGGUUGGGGCAACCGAAAAGGAAAAAUAUCCUUUUCUUCUUCAAAUUUUGAUAAAACAAGUACCGUUAAUAACGACAAAAAGAUAAAAUUACCACAGGGAUAACAGCAUAAUUUUUUUAUAAAGUUCUUAUUUAUAAAAAAGUUUAUGACCUCGAUGUUGGACUAAAGUAACUUUUGGGUGCAGAAGCUCAAAAAGUUAGACUGUUCGUCUAUUAAAACUUUACAU